Long non-coding RNA from Cynoglossus semilaevis (tongue sole), 616 nucleotides. RefSeq lists it as uncharacterized. The transcript is spliced from 3 exons. NCBI's taxonomy places the organism in Eukaryota, Metazoa, Chordata, Actinopteri, Pleuronectiformes, Cynoglossidae. The record is from RefSeq and is a predicted model, not a curated record.
AAAAUCAUAUUAAUCUGAUGACAGUGUGUCAUUUAUUAGUGAUUUACUAAGAAAAUAUAAUUAUCACAAACAGGAUGUAGAUGAAGAAGUGAAGCCUAGAAGGAAGUGAAUGUAACGUUUCUGAUUAUUCUAAAGCUGUCUACUUGCCUUCUUGUAGGUCUGCUACGCUGUGGGUUACAACUUGAGGAAACAAAACAGACAAGGACCAACUACUCACUAAGGAGCAUGUGUGUCCAAACUCUAAAAGAGAGUUUUAACAGCCAGCAAAGUGAGCAGCAGGGUCGUCGCAGUGGCCACGGGCUGACCCGGAGCACGGCUCUGCAGGAUUCUACCCUCAUCUGUAAGAGAACACAGAAAAGUCCCAGAUGAAUGUAGAGCAAAGCAAAUACCUGCUUCCCAGAUGACUGGUCCCAAGGAGAUGGCUACAGUGUCAUGGUGGCUGUGACAUUAGCGGUGGGAUCAGAGGUUGGACUUGAGAGCAGUAGUGACUUCCGUCAUAUUGGGAAACCUUUCCUAAUGGGCACAGUUGCACUGGGUAAGAAUCCAUCCAUCAUGUUUUUUUCUAUUUGACGUCUUCUUUGAUUGUCUUUUUUUUUUAGUUUGAUAAUAUGAAGGG